Xylariales sp. PMI_506 is the source of this 93-nucleotide non-coding RNA. The record is from the annotation of a GenBank genome assembly. Lineage: Eukaryota; Fungi; Ascomycota; Sordariomycetes; Xylariales.
GCCCGGUUAGCUCAAUUGGUUAGAGCGUCGGACUUUUAACAGGAAUUUCCUGGGUCCAUCCGAAGGCUGCGAGUUCGACCCUCGCAUCGGGCG